RNAcentral lists this ribosomal RNA (512 nucleotides) under uncultured bacterium. Its description in RNAcentral is "partial 16S ribosomal RNA". It matches the Rfam family "Bacterial small subunit ribosomal RNA", at positions 28 to 507 of the family's 1533-position model. The record is from RNAcentral.
GAUGAACGCUGGCGGCGUGCCUAAUACAUGCAAGUCGAACGAAACUUCUUUAUCACCGAGUGCUUGCACUCACCGAUAAAGAGUUGAGUGGCGAACGGGUGAGUAACACGUGGGCAACCUGCCCCAAAGAGGGGGAUAACACUUGGAAACAGGUGCUAAUACCGCAUAACCAUAGUUACCGCAUGGUAACUAUGUAAAAGGUGGCUAUACUACCGCUUUUGGAUGGGCCCGCGGCGCAUUAGCUAGUUGGUAGGGUAAAGGCUUACCAAGGCAAUGAUGCGUAGCCGAAUUGAGAGGUUGAUCGGCCACAUUGGGACUGAGACACGGCCCAAACUCCUACGGGAGGCAGCAGUAGGGAAUCUUCCACAAUGGGCGAAAGCCUGAUGGAGCAACGCCGCGUGGGUGAAGAAGGUCUUCGGAUCGUAAAACCCUGUUGUUAGAGAAGAAAGUGCGUGAGAGUAACUGUUCACGUUUCGACGGUAUCUAACCAGAAAGCCACUGCUAACUACGUG